UACAGAGGUCCCAAGCGUUGUUCGGAUUCACUGGGCGUAAAGGGUGCGUAGGUGGUUGGGUAAGUCUAAUGUGAAAUCUCCGAGCCUAACUCGGAAACUGCAUCGGAUACUAUCCAGCUAGAGGAUUGGAGGGGGGACUGGAAUACUUGGUGUAGCAGUGAAAUGCGUAGAUAUCAAGUGGAACACCAGUGGCGAAGGCGAGUCCCUAGACAACUCCUGACACUGAGGCACGAAAGCUAGGGGAGCAAACAGG
This 253-nucleotide ribosomal RNA is filed under the name uncultured bacterium. RNAcentral's name for it is "partial 16S ribosomal RNA". It matches the Rfam family "Bacterial small subunit ribosomal RNA", at positions 524 to 776 of the family's 1533-position model. The record is from RNAcentral.